UACAGAGGUGCCGAGCGUUAGGCGGAAUCACUGGGCUUAAAGCGUGUGUAGGCGGGUCGUUAAGUACCUUGUGAAAUCCCCCGGCUCAACCGGGGAACUGCUGGGUAUACUGGCGAUCUUGAGCGAUCUAGGGGCAGAUGGAACAAGUGGUGGAGCGGUGAAAUGCGUAGAGAUUGGAAAGAACACCAAUGGCGAAAGCACUUUACUGGGCUAUCACUGACACUGAGAGACGAAAGCUAGGGUAGCAAAUGGG
Molecule: ribosomal RNA, 253 nt
Filed under: uncultured bacterium
Lineage: Bacteria
Description: partial 16S ribosomal RNA
Rfam family: Bacterial small subunit ribosomal RNA
Source: RNAcentral